GUGAGAGGCCGAUGGCGGCGGGUGCUGGUGUGGAAGAUGAGGCUGAAUGAGAGCCGGACAAGAUCCUUCCAGGCUGCUGUCACGGUCCACAAAUACCCGGGCAGGCAGGUCUAUGUGUUUCCCGAUGGCCCAUCCGACUCUGAGGAGUCCUCGGAGGAGGAGGAGCUCAACGUCAUGGAAUUGCGGCCCAGGGGGAAAGAGCAGCAGCGGGGCAGCACUUCCCGGGACAGGCCUGGAGCUGUGGUGCUUCUGGAGCGGGAGCUCACGGAGGGUGACAGCCUCAACAAGCUGGCCCUGCAGUACGGCUGUAAAGUCGCCGACAUCAAACGGGUCAACAACUUCAUCCGGGAGCAGGACCUGUACGCGCUGAAGUCCAUCAAGAUCCCGGUGAAGGCACACGGGCUGCUCACGGAGAGCAGGCGGGAGCUGCGGCCGCUCCCUCCGGCCCAGCCCGGGCUGACCCGCGUGGAGCUGCCCGAGCCCGACCCCGGCACGGGGGGACCCUCCAACGGCCAAAACCUCAGCGACUACUUCAGGGACAUCGACCAGAGCAUCCAGGACGCCGUGCAGGUGGAGGUGCAGCUGAACACAGAGUACUGUGGGGAGCCCCUGGAGAGGCCUCUGCCCGAGCCGGGGAAGCGGGACACCGGGAACGGUGCGGACUGCGGGAUCCAGUGGUGGAACGCCGUGUUCAUCAUGCUCCUGAUAGGAAUUGUGCUGCCAGUAUUUUAUAUCAUCUAUUUUAAAACACAAGGCCUGGUGGCCCACACCUCCAACACAACAGUAACCUCAAAUGUUUCAACAGCUGGAUUGGAAGGGAAAUUACCACAAAGCUCAGUGGUAGGAAAAAAGUCCUAAGGGGAAACGGGAGACCCCUCCAGUCUCUCCAGCAGUGGUGCCCACACUCUCGUGACUGACCCAAGUGCAUCUAAGGGGAUAUAAUGAUACAGAUAAUUUUUAUUUUUAUAAGUAGCUGAUGAUGGAAUCCUGAACUUGACUGAAAGUGAGGUGAUGUGAUUGUGAUGGAAAAAUAAGGAUGAUUUGUUGCUUAUGAAGGUCACUGAGCAGACCAUGGUGGUUUUGGCUUAACCCUAAACUGAUGGCUCUAAGCUGGGUGUGCCAGCCCCUCAUCAUCCUCCUCCUGAGCAAACCUUUGAGCUGGGUUUAUUAGGUUGAUGUCAAGCCCCUCCCCUGGAUGAGCCCAGACCUCUCCCCUCCAUGAAAUCCUUCAGAGAUGGGAUCUCGGUGCUGUCCCCAGGGUGCAGCCAGAGCCAGCCCUGCCACUGCAGGUGGGCAGAGGGUGUUGGAGGAGGAUGUGAGAGCAGGGAGAGGAGUUGCACACUCCUCUCAAGGGCUCUUUUGUUGGCAGGGGGGUAUAGUCAGUAUGACUUGUUAAAAAUACUAAUAAUAGUCUAUAAUGGUGCAUCUCAGACACCCGAUGUCAGUCACAGACUUGAUUUCCCUGUGUGCAGAUUUCAUGGGAGCAAAGUGCUGAGUCCCAUGCAGGGUGCAAGGUCCAGGGCAGAAGUCCAAGGCACAGAAAGAAGGGUAAAGCCUUUCUAGGACAGGACUGAGCUGAUUGUGAAGCGUUCUGUGACCUGCAGAUGUGCAUUAAAAAGCUGCUGAGGGUGUAGGGAAGAGUGGGGGAGCUUCAGAGGGUAGAGGGCUGUGCUCUUCAGAGACACUGAACACUGCCUGCUGGGAGGAGCAGCAAGGGAGGCUUUGGGAGCUUUGCUGCAGAGCAGAAUUGGCCUCAGAAAUUGGAUUCAUCAAUUCCAGGCCUGCAGGCAGAGGUAAUUCCAGGCCUUCCUGGAACCAAACACUAAGGGAUUUCCACCCCACACAAGCAGAACUGUGUGAUGUUACAAUGACAACCUGUGUUUCCUGCAGCUCUCAAAAAAAGUGCUCAGGAAAGCCUGAGGGAACCUAAUUUUGUAAAUGAGGACUGUAAAGUAUCUUAUACUGAACAAAAACUUGUAUUUUUCUUCUGUGAAGAGCUGUAUCUCUUUGUUCUGGGGGCGGGGGGGAUUUCUUACAUUUUUAAAUAAAGCCACAUGAAAUAAUAAAAGCA
Manacus vitellinus (golden-collared manakin) is the source of this 2071-nucleotide RNA transcript. It is a transcript of the gene named LysM domain containing 4, with no coding region annotated. The record is from RefSeq and is a predicted model, not a curated record. Lineage: Eukaryota; Metazoa; Chordata; Aves; Passeriformes; Pipridae. The transcript is spliced from 4 exons.